AAGGAAGAGCCGGAAGCUGGACGCCCCUCUGGGAAGCAGCAGUAAAGUCUUGCUCUGAUGUGCUGGCUGAGGAAGGAUGCCACUUGCAGUUCUGAGGGGCAUGUGUGCAGGGUCAGCCACCCUCCACUUUCUCCUUCUUCUACCAGGAAACCUGAUGGAAACAGGGAGAAGCAUGCCUCAUUUCUUCAUGAAUGAUGCUGACGUGAGUGCGCCUGAGGCUGUGCAUGCCCGUAGCGUCUGCUGCCAUUACCCGCCCCCAAUUGGAAUAUGUCCCAUAGGGGAACAUGGUCUCUCAGCCACCUUGCCUUGCCACUCCUUUUUAACACCUACAAACACAGCCAUAAAUUUUUAAGUCCUUACCAAGUGCCACGCACUGUGGUAGGCACAUUAGGUGCAUGACCUCAUUUGUUCCUCUUAGUAGCACCGAGGCUCAUCGUCCCUACUCUUUGGUUCCAGUUCCCAAUCCCAGCCAGGCACAAGGGGUUGAAGUCUGUUCCCUAAGCUGAUAUAGAGGACACAGUCCAGUC
RNAcentral lists this long non-coding RNA (527 nucleotides) under Zalophus californianus (California sea lion). RNAcentral describes it as "lncRNA (ENSZCAG00015001568.1)". Lineage: Eukaryota; Metazoa; Chordata; Mammalia; Carnivora; Otariidae. The record is from RNAcentral.